AGCCGUGUGGUGAGCACAGAGCGAACUAUUCUUUCGCCUUUUACUAAAGAAUACCGUGUGCUCGCCACUUUUAGCGGCAUACGCCAAUUUUUGGGAGGGUAUUCCUUUGUGAAUGCC
Molecule: small nuclear RNA, 117 nt
Filed under: Corchorus capsularis
Lineage: Eukaryota; Viridiplantae; Streptophyta; Magnoliopsida; Malvales; Malvaceae
Description: snRNA U5
Rfam family: U5 spliceosomal RNA
About the family: U5 RNA is a component of both types of known spliceosome.
Source: RNAcentral